RNAcentral lists this transfer RNA (85 nucleotides) under Bifidobacterium callitrichidarum. Its description in RNAcentral is "tRNA-Leu". It matches the Rfam family "tRNA". Rfam says of the family: Transfer RNA (tRNA) molecules are approximately 80 nucleotides in length. Their secondary structure includes four short double-helical elements and three loops (D, anti-codon, and T loops). The record is from RNAcentral. Lineage: Bacteria; Bacillati; Actinomycetota; Actinomycetes; Bifidobacteriales; Bifidobacteriaceae.
GCGAGAGUGGCGAAAUUGGUAGACGCGCAGGAUUUAGAUUCCUGUGACUUCGGUCUUGCGGGUUCGAUUCCCGUCUCUCGCACCC